GACGAACGCUGGCGGCGUGCCUAAUACAUGCAAGUAGAACGCUGAAGAGAGGAGCUUGCUCUUCUUGGAUGAGUUGCGAACGGGUGAGUAACGCGUAGGUAACCUGCCUGGUAGCGGGGGAUAACUAUUGGAAACGAUAGCUAAUACCGCAUAAAAUGGAUUAUCGCAUGAUAAUCCAUUGAAAGGUGCAAAUGCAUCACUACCAGAUGGACUUGCGUUGUAUUAGCUAGUUGGUGGGGUAACGGCUCACCAAGGCGACGAUACAUAGCCGACCUGAGAGGGUGAUCGGCCACACUGGGACUGAGACACGGCCCAGACUCCUACGGGAGGCAGCAGUAGGGAAUCUUCGGCAAUGGACGGAAGUCUGACCGAGCAACGCCGCGUGAGUGAAGAAGGGUUUCGGAUCGUAAAGCUCUGUUGUAAGAGAAGAACGAGUGUGAGAGUGGAAAGUUCACACUGUGACGGUAGCUUACCAGAAAGGGACGGCUAACUACGUG
RNAcentral lists this ribosomal RNA (497 nucleotides) under uncultured bacterium. RNAcentral's name for it is "partial 16S ribosomal RNA". It matches the Rfam family "Bacterial small subunit ribosomal RNA", at positions 28 to 507 of the family's 1533-position model. The record is from RNAcentral.